UACGUAGGGGGCUAGCGUUAUCCGGAUUCAUUGGGCGUAAAGGGCGUCUAGGCGGCUUGGUAAGUCAGGUGUGAAAACCGGGGGCUCAACCCGCGGCCUGCACCUGAAACUGCCAGGCUUGAGUCUGGUAGAGGAAAGUGGAAUUCCCAGUGUAGCGGUGAAAUGCGCAGAUAUUGGGAGGAACACCAGUGGCGAAGGCGGCUUUCUGGGCCACGACUGACGCUGAAGCGCGAAAGCUAGGGGAG
Molecule: ribosomal RNA, 245 nt
Filed under: uncultured bacterium
Lineage: Bacteria
Description: partial 16S ribosomal RNA
Rfam family: Bacterial small subunit ribosomal RNA
Source: RNAcentral